RNAcentral lists this transfer RNA (71 nucleotides) under Gemmatimonadota bacterium. RNAcentral's name for it is "Gemmatimonadetes bacterium (marine metagenome) tRNA-Thr". It matches the Rfam family "tRNA". Rfam says of the family: Transfer RNA (tRNA) molecules are approximately 80 nucleotides in length. Their secondary structure includes four short double-helical elements and three loops (D, anti-codon, and T loops). The record is from RNAcentral. Lineage: Bacteria; Pseudomonadati; Gemmatimonadota.
GCCGGUGUAGCUGAGGGGUUUAGCCAUGCAUUCGUAAUGCAUAGACGGCAGUUCGAAUCUGCCCACCGGCU